RNAcentral lists this long non-coding RNA (210 nucleotides) under Phoenix dactylifera (date palm). RNAcentral's name for it is "long non-coding RNA (PDAC_LNC004906)". The record is from RNAcentral. Lineage: Eukaryota; Viridiplantae; Streptophyta; Magnoliopsida; Arecales; Arecaceae.
UAUUAGGAAGAGUCCUGUGUUAUAAAAAAGAUUAUAAAUUGAUGAAUAUGAUGGCUAUUUAUAGAUUGUUGAUGAUAGAGCCAAUGUCAUAGGUGAUUGGUUGCCUAAUAUUCUCAAGAUUUUUGUUGAUACAUAGUUUUUCAAACUAAAUGAGCAAAUCCCAAACUCAACAAGGAGAUGGCUAGCUUUAUUAGAGUUGGGACCUUGGAG